Long non-coding RNA from Oncorhynchus tshawytscha (Chinook salmon), 333 nucleotides. Lineage: Eukaryota; Metazoa; Chordata; Actinopteri; Salmoniformes; Salmonidae. The record is from Ensembl.
GAGGAGAGGAAUGACAUGGCACAGAGAGAGGGAGAGAGAGGUCAAAGAGAGGAGAGGAAUGACAUGGCAGAGAGAGAGGGAGAGAGAGAGAGAGGAAUGACAUGGCAGAGAGAGAGGGAGAGAGAGGAGAGGAAUAACAUGGCAGAGAGAGAGAGAGAGAGGUCAACGAGAGGAGAGGAAUGACAUGGCAAGAGAGAGGGAGAGAGAGAGGUCAAAGAGAGGAGAGGAAUGACAUGGCAGAGAGAGAGAGAGGGGAGAGGGAGAGAGAGAUCAAAGAGAGGAGAGGAAUGACAUGGCAGAGAGAGGGAGAGAGAGAGAGAGAUCAACGAGAGG